UACGUAGGGUGCAAGCGUUAAUCGGAAUUACUGGGCGUAAAGCGUGCGCAGGCGGUUUUGUAAGUCUGACGUGAAAUCCCCGGGCUUAACCUGGGAAUUGCGUUGGAGACUGCAAGGCUGGAGUCUGGCAGAGGGGGGGUAGAAUUCCACGUGUAGCAGUGAAAUGCGUAGAGAUGUGGAGGAACACCGAUGGCGAAGGCAGCCCCCCUGGGUCAAGACUGACGCUCAUGCACGAAAGCGUGGGGAGCAAACAGG
RNAcentral lists this ribosomal RNA (255 nucleotides) under uncultured bacterium. Its description in RNAcentral is "partial 16S ribosomal RNA". It matches the Rfam family "Bacterial small subunit ribosomal RNA", at positions 524 to 776 of the family's 1533-position model. The record is from RNAcentral.